This 1396-nucleotide ribosomal RNA is filed under the name Lactiplantibacillus pentosus. RNAcentral's name for it is "bacterial SSU rRNA". It matches the Rfam family "Bacterial small subunit ribosomal RNA", at positions 64 to 1438 of the family's 1533-position model. Lineage: Bacteria; Bacillati; Bacillota; Bacilli; Lactobacillales; Lactobacillaceae. The record is from RNAcentral.
GUAUUGAUUGGUGCUUGCAUCAUGAUUUACAUUUGAGUGAGUGGCGAACUGGUGAGUAACACGUGGGAAACCUGCCCAGAAGCGGGGGAUAACACCUGGAAACAGAUGCUAAUACCGCAUAACAACUUGGACCGCAUGGUCCGAGUUUGAAAGAUGGCUUCGGCUAUCACUUUUGGAUGGUCCCGCGGCGUAUUAGCUAGAUGGUGAGGUAACGGCUCACCAUGGCAAUGAUACGUAGCCGACCUGAGAGGGUAAUCGGCCACAUUGGGACUGAGACACGGCCCAAACUCCUACGGGAGGCAGCAGUAGGGAAUCUUCCACAAUGGACGAAAGUCUGAUGGAGCAACGCCGCGUGAGUGAAGAAGGGUUUCGGCUCGUAAAACUCUGUUGUUAAAGAAGAACAUAUCUGAGAGUAACUGUUCAGGUAUUGACGGUAUUUAACCAGAAAGCCACGGCUAACUACGUGCCAGCAGCCGCGGUAAUACGUAGGUGGCAAGCGUUGUCCGGAUUUAUUGGGCGUAAAGCGAGCGCAGGCGGUUUUUUAAGUCUGAUGUGAAAGCCUUCGGCUCAACCGAAGAAGUGCAUCGGAAACUGGGAAACUUGAGUGCAGAAGAGGACAGUGGAACUCCAUGUGUAGCGGUGAAAUGCGUAGAUAUAUGGAAGAACACCAGUGGCGAAGGCGGCUGUCUGGUCUGUAACUGACGCUGAGGCUCGAAAGUAUGGGUAGCAAACAGGAUUAGAUACCCUGGUAGUCCAUACCGUAAACGAUGAAUGCUAAGUGUUGGAGGGUUUCCGCCCUUCAGUGCUGCAGCUAACGCAUUAAGCAUUCCGCCUGGGGAGUACGGCCGCAAGGCUGAAACUCAAAGGAAUUGACGGGGGCCCGCACAAGCGGUGGAGCAUGUGGUUUAAUUCGAAGCUACGCGAAGAACCUUACCAGGUCUUGACAUACUAUGCAAAUCUAAGAGAUUAGACGUUCCCUUCGGGGACAUGGAUACAGGUGGUGCAUGGUUGUCGUCAGCUCGUGUCGUGAGAUGUUGGGUUAAGUCCCGCAACGAGCGCAACCCUUAUUAUCAGUUGCCAGCAUUAAGUUGGGCACUCUGGUGAGACUGCCGGUGACAAACCGGAGGAAGGUGGGGAUGACGUCAAAUCAUCAUGCCCCUUAUGACCUGGGCUACACACGUGCUACAAUGGAUGGUACAACGAGUUGCGAACUCGCGAGAGUAAGCUAAUCUCUUAAAGCCAUUCUCAGUUCGGAUUGUAGGCUGCAACUCGCCUACAUGAAGUCGGAAUCGCUAGUAAUCGCGGAUCAGCAUGCCGCGGUGAAUACGUUCCCGGGCCUUGUACACACCGCCCGUCACACCAUGAGAGUUUGUAACACCCAAAGUCGGUGGGGUAA